This 2697-nucleotide long non-coding RNA is filed under the name Mus musculus (house mouse). Its description in RNAcentral is "long non-coding RNA chr4:33020659-33023356". Lineage: Eukaryota; Metazoa; Chordata; Mammalia; Rodentia; Muridae. The record is from RNAcentral.
AUGAUUUCUAUGAAGAGACUUGAAUGAGAUGGUAGGAGCCUGGAGUUCUAAUCUUCAGGACUAUUCCCCGACGGCCUCUGCCAACAGAGUGGAUGGUGGUUGGCCACUUUUAAGAGUCUAACACCACUGUGCACCCACACAAAGACACUAGAGAGUGAGAAAAAGCAUAGUUUUCUCUUUUUGAGUGGGGCUCAGAGGUAACUCAGGCUGGCCUCAGACUUGCCAGGUAGCUAAGGAUGCUCUCCAGUUUCUGACCGCUCAGCCUCGACUUUCCCUAAGUGCUAGGAUUAUAGGAAUGCAACACCGUGCUUGGCUUGAACAGUGCUGAGAACUGGACCCAGAGCUUUGUGCAUGUGAAGGCAAGCACUCUACCAAUCUAGUAUCCCCAGCAUCCUUUCUUAAUAGUUUUUUUUUUUUUUUAAACAAAGAAUUUCUCUUUGAAUAGACAAAGAAUUAAGUUUUUAAUAAGACUGUAGUUUCAAAAUAAGACACUUGCCUGUCUGGUAAAUCACAUAAAAUUAGCAUGUCUAAGUGGCGCUUCCAUUUUUAAGCUGGUUAUAUCAUGAGUUUUUGUUGUUGAAAUGUGCCUUAAAAGCCUAUCACUUCAAGAGCAUGUGAUUCUUUGAGGGAUAGGCAGGAACACUCCUGUGACAUAGGGCCCAUGUUCCUGAUCAUAAAUGCACUCUUUAGUUACAACACUGAUUCCUGCCUCGAGCCUGGUGUGACACUGACCUCUUGAAGAUGUCUGAAUGUGACUAGAAUUGCGAAAUGUCCUCACAUUUGUUUUGUAUUUUAUCUUAGAUUUGGGGGGUUAGCUUACUGCACUGUAGAUCUGUGUCUAUGCUCAAAUGGGACUAUAAACUGAAAGGUCAAACUCCUAACUACGGUGGCUUCAGUAGAACAUGUGUUUGGUUUUAGGAAUUGAGAACUUGAAGAUGUGUAGAGCAGGCAGACUUUUGCUCUCUGAGUCAAGUACAGCUUCUAUGUAAGAGUUGUGCCGAAUUACUUGUCAUAAUGGAGGUUAGUGUGAGUGACCUGUACAGAGUGCUUUUGAAGGAGUAGAAAUAAAAGCUGAUUAAUAGAUACCACGUGUUAUUUUGUGAACAUAAUAUAUUUUGGAUCAUUAAAUAGAAAAUGGCUAAAUAUCACAGCAGUACUAUUAAGUAUGGGUUAUUUGUCAACUGAGUCUGAAACAGAAUUUAUCAAAUCAAUGGAACUGUCAUGAUUGACGUAUGGUAUGCACUCAACAAACACAGGCUGGGUGUAGUUUGUAAUCAAGCACACUGUUUUGCUGUUGCUAGGACUUCAUUUGUAACACAGUCUUCAGGGAUGUUAACUGCCAACUUGAAAGCAUGUUUGUGUGCCGAUGGCUUGACGUACCCCGUACCCAUAGCUUAGUUUUCUGGGAGCAGAAUGGUCUCUUGUUGAAAUUCAAGAUGAUGUUUACUAUAUACAUAUAUAUACAUCACUGUUUUAUUGGUUAUGUUAGGUUCAUUUAAUAAAAAGAAGUUUUAAAAAUAACCUCUUGAAGUGGGGUCUCUUAAUGGCAUUCCAGGCUGAUCUUGGAUUUCUGGGCUCAACAGAUCUUCCUGCCUCAGCCUGUCUUCAGUUGGGCCACAAGCUGGUACAACCACCCUUGACUGUUUAGCCAAAUCUCUCAAUUACGCAGUUCUAGUUUUAUGCAAAUGAAGAUAAAUCAGUAUGUAAACUGAAUUUACCCUCUUUUGAGAUGUGGUCUCAGUAUAUAGCCCUGGCUGGCCUUGGAACUAUAUAGACCAGGCUCUCCUCAAACUCCAGAGGCCUGCUUGCCUCUGCCUUCUGAAUUGUAGAACUAAAGGUGUGUGCCAUCAUGCCUAUUUUUUUCCUUCUUCUUUAAAAGUCCUAUUUUCCUUUGGUGUCAGUAAAGUCUAGGACCUUCCCACAUACAUUGGGCAAGUGCUUCAGCCUCUUUGAGCCCUUAGAACACAACGCAGGUGCUGAUUCUGGACAUAGCCCUUUAAUGAGCCCCCCGCCCCCCCUUAAAGCAGUGCAGUGAAGGGGCUCACCUGGAGAGAUCAGCCCUGAAUGUCUGUUCAUCUAGUGAGAAAGGGACUUGCCUGGGGCACGUGUGUAAGGAACAAUCAGCAACCCACAAAGUACUGCCCGAUUUCAUUGUUCUGGCCCUAAGCAUCACCUAGGACGUUUAAUACGACAGAUUCCCAUCCCUAACUCAUGCUUCCUGAAUCAAAGUCUGGGAAGUCGGCUAGGAAUCUGUAUUUUAAAUGUUCUUGGGAGACCUUGUUUCCCUGGGAGUUGUUACAAAGCUAGGGAAGGGAGAUUGUUUUGCACAAGGAUUGUAAUCACCCAGGGAAGCAUUCUUGAGUCCUCUAUAUAAUAAUAUAUGCAUAUACAUAUAUUCAAGUGUUUAUACAACUUGAUUAUGAGCUUUGAAACAUUAUUAUUAAACUCAAGUUCUACGGAAUCUGAAGCUCUCUCCCGGCCUCCAUAACUCCUGUAUGUUUUGACCUUCCUUCCUCCAUGCAUGCAGAAAUCUCAAAAACAAAACCAGAAAUCUAUAUUACUUAAAGUACCAUUUAAUGUACACUGCCACACAUGUAAAUGAUGAAAUGUCCAUUUGAAUGAUCAAUUUAUAUGUUUAGAUCUUUGCAUUUAUAUAACAAAUUACAUACCUGUCUAAAUAAAUUGUCUCUUCACACG